UUCUAUGGCAGCUGUGCGGGGCACUCACGUGCGCCGGGUUUUGGUUGACCUACCGGUCUGUCAACCCAGGUACAGCUGCCACCCUC
RNAcentral lists this non-coding RNA (86 nucleotides) under Pseudomonas sp. URMO17WK12:I7. RNAcentral also lists the same sequence under 1 other name. Lineage: Bacteria; Pseudomonadati; Pseudomonadota; Gammaproteobacteria; Pseudomonadales; Pseudomonadaceae. The record is from RNAcentral.